UACGAAGGGUGCAAACGUUGCUCGGAAUUAUUGGGCGUAAAGCGCACGUAGGCGGCUCCGCAAGUCCCAUGUGAAAGCCCACGGCUUAACCGUGGAAGUGCAUGGGAAACUGCAGAGCUUGAGUACUAAAGAGGAUCGCGGAAUUCCCGGUGUAGAGGUGAAAUUCGUAGAUAUCAGGAGGAACACCGAUGGCGAAGGCAGGUCUCUGGGCCAUUACUGACACUGAGAAGCGAAAGCAUGGGGAGCGAACAGG
This 253-nucleotide ribosomal RNA is filed under the name uncultured bacterium. RNAcentral describes it as "partial 16S ribosomal RNA". It matches the Rfam family "Bacterial small subunit ribosomal RNA", at positions 524 to 776 of the family's 1533-position model. The record is from RNAcentral.